Linepithema humile (Argentine ant) is the source of this 3265-nucleotide non-coding RNA. The record is from RefSeq and is a predicted model, not a curated record. Lineage: Eukaryota; Metazoa; Arthropoda; Insecta; Hymenoptera; Formicidae.
UAUUAAGAAUAAAUUUGUGUUGCAAAAUUAUUUUGAUAGUAAAUUUUCAAAGAUUAGAAAAUAUCUUUUUCGAAGCAAUCCUAGAUAGAAGAAAGAAUGUCUGCUAAGAGCCUAAAAUGCCGGCACGUUGCGUACAUAAUUUUAUCGAAUAAACUAUAUAAAAAAUAAACUGUAUAGAUGCGUCGGUUAUGCGAUCUUUGUACAGUUUAUUCGAUAAAAUCUUUUAUCAGCUCUUUUCGCUAUUUAUUAAUUGAACAUCUGAGAGAUCUUAUUUGAUCUUAUUUCUCUCUUCUUGUGUGAUUUUCUGAUAUAUGGACAAGAUGUAAUUGCGCGCGAGAAUAAGGAUACUUUUAAUGAAAAUUUUCCUGUAAAGAAUAUCCUUGAAUCGUGAUAUGCAAUGAAAUUAGUUGACGCAAUAAUUUGUGCAAUCGCCAAUCGAACGCCAGUAUCUCGUUUACUUUUUGCGAUUACAUUUAUGCACUCGCGACUUGCGCCUGUGCAGUUCCUUUUUAGGUUGCGCCUGGUUCUCGGGCGUGAAAUCAAGUACACAUGCCGCGGGCGCCCCGACUUUUUCGUAUGUAAAUUAGUCAGUCAUUACAAGCAAUCAUUUUGUUCGUCUGCCUGCGUUAAUUAGACAUUGAUAAUGAAGAAGUUUCCUCCCCUCUCUCUCUCUCUUUCUCUGCUCUUCAUCGAGAUUUUUCAAGAUCUCAAAUCUCUUCUUUCCAGAAGAAUUAUUACUGAUUGAUUAUCGAUAUGAUUUAAUCCAAUUUCUAAUUUCAAUAUUUUACGCGAUAUUUCCGCACAUGUUUUUUCACACUUUUGUAUUUUUUCUAAUGCAGAAUUUUGAACACUAUUAGUUCCAUUUUUUUUUUAAUUACUGAUGUAAUUUCCUUGAAUCAAAUUCCUAAAUUCAUACUUUACACAUCUAUUAAUAUCCAAGUCUACGAAUAUCUCUAUUUAUAUUUCUCAAAUGUAUGCAUCAGCAUGUUUUGGAACACACCGCAAUAGCAAUUGCAAAUAUUUGUCUCGCGGUAUAAUCGAGACAAGCCAAACCCUUCUUUCUCUCUUCUUCUUUCACUCGCGCACCCUCGCCGGUUCUCUUGACGUUAGUUUAAAAUUAAACACUCUCCCUUACUUUCCGCAAGCAAUAUACCUCACUAAGAGGCGUGGCACUAGUGUGAAAAUAAAAAGGUAAAAGGGAGAAAUGAAGAGGACACUUGUGCUGUUUUCCUCUUUGUUCUCCGACAGAUGCCACGGAAAUUUCAUUAUUCUCUCAGAAAUUGAAAAUAAACGCGUCGGACAUUGUUCGUCCAUCGCGAUACCUCAAUGAGACGUAUAUUAAAAUGAAUAGUCGGAUUUCAGAGAGGGCGUCAUUCCAAAUUCUUUACGUUCCAAGAAACACAUUCGAUGAAAUUAAUACAGUAAUUUAUAUAAUAUAAUUCUUCAUUGCCGUCUGAUUCUGUUGAAACGGCCGGAAACAUGGAAAAUUCAUUUAUAUACGAGAAAAUAUUGUAAAUAUUGAAACUCUGCUCGGUAUAAAUGAUCCGAGUGUCGGAGGUUUCUUCCGCGAGUUUCGAUUAAAAAGGAUACGCUCAUUCGUGAUGUUAAUCCGAAAUUGGACGUAUCGUUGAAUAUAACUCUCUUUAAAUAUCUGCACAGAUUUGAAGUGCAUUCGAAGCGAUGAAAUGCGUGGGAGAAAGCCCCGCGAGCUGGCAUGACUUUGCGUUGGUGGCAAAGAGACUUAAGACAAAAUUAAGAACGGGUUAAGCGAGCGCUCUUCGCGUAGGCUGCGCUUUUUUAGCGUCCCUUAACCAGUUUCCACGUGCAUUUUCCAGACCCCGGCCAGGUGGGCCGAUCUGUAGGUACUAUCAGCUGCAUUCUACAACUAUUCUAUCUUCCUACAAUUAUUUUUUACCUUCCUUUCUCUUCGCUCAAGCAUGCUCCGAUUUUCUUGCAGUCGGAAAUACUUUUUUUUACGUAUGUCAGUUUUGAUUCUUCGCGGCGAGCGGCGGUUAGUCGGCAUUUUUCAAAAGGAUUUGUAUGAAAUAAUUUCUCGAAAUAAUUUUCUCGAUAAAUAAACUUGGAGAAUUAAAAUACUUUGCGAUGCUCAAGAGCAUUAUAUCAAUAAGUAAUGUUUAUACAUUGCAAAUUUGAUAUUAAUUCGCGGGAUCAUUGUAUUUUAAUGAGUUAUUUGAAUUUGCAAAUCGAUGGAUUUAUUCAAAUUCGCACGAGUCAUUACCAUCGUUUAAAUUACUUUUCAUGUUACGUGAAUUAAUUAUAUUGAUUUUCUUCUUUCCAUAUAAUAUCGUGAAAAAAUAUUUGGGAAUAGUUUUGAAACAAAACGCAAAAAGUGUACGGAAGUAGUGCAGCUAGCAAGAAUGUCGUAAAUAAUAUAAAUUGCGUAAAUAUUCAACGAAUAAAUGUUUGAAAUAGUACAAUCAGGUUGAUUUCGAGAUUCACGAAUCCAGCGGAAACGCGCGAGCACAACUGCUGCGUAAAAUAUGAGAAGUGUAAAGGAAGAAAAUUGCAACUAGGAAGGGCGGACUCUCGGGGUCGUUAAAUACUCUCCGAAUAGAUGUAUCGAAUACGAUGAUCGAUUCGACGAUUUCCGAGGUCCAUCCAAUCGGAGCGGGGUGACUCGCCUCUGACCGUCGCGACGCGCGGUGCACAGGUGGGCGGCGGCGUGCGGGGGGAGCGAGAGGGGAAGGAAAAGAGAGGGUAGGAGGAGUCCUCCGGGGGACUCUGGACUAGAUCGAUAAUGCAUCUCUUGGCGGGCGUAGUUCCUCUUAGUCACCGGAGGGCGAUCACUCACGGCGACGAGGUAUUCAUCAUUUUACAGCCGUUUCGGCUGCGCGCAGAGCGAGAGGGAGAGAGGAGUGCUGUUGGUGCCGAUGCGACAAUCCGUGUGCCGAAUAUUAACGGCGUACGAUAUGUAAAGUGAUCCGGAGUAGAGUUGCGCGGAACAGUUGAUCUCUCGGCAACGUCCUCGCUUCUGGGCUGAUUUUCGGCGACUCCUCGUUCGAUAGUUCUCUCGAUAUUUCCGCCGCGACUUUCGGAACACUUUACAGAUUAUGAAUUUAUCGAAUUCUUGGCACCAAACUCUCUUCAAUCUAGAUGAAAGAAAUUUCCUUAAAAUACGGCAAGUUCCUUGAUGCGAUAUUAUUAAUGCUUGAUAUUUCUUGGCGGUGUCGAUACUUUCAUAAAAUAGGACACGCAAGAGCAUCUGUAAGAAUCUAAGAAAAUCAAUAAAUUAUUGAAGAACGCA